RNAcentral lists this ribosomal RNA (499 nucleotides) under uncultured bacterium. RNAcentral describes it as "bacterial SSU rRNA". It matches the Rfam family "Bacterial small subunit ribosomal RNA", at positions 31 to 518 of the family's 1533-position model. The record is from RNAcentral.
GAACGCUGGCGGCAGGCCUAACACAUGCAAGUCGAACGGUAACAGGAAGCAGCUUGCUGCUUCGCUGACGAGUGGCGGACGGGUGAGUAAUGUCUGGGAAACUGCCUGAUGGAGGGGGGAUAACUACUGGAAACGGUAGCUAAUACCGCAUAACGUCGCAAGACCAAAGAGGGGGACCUUCGGACCUCUUGCCAUCAGAUGUGCCCAGAUGGGAUUAGCUUGUUGGUGGGGUAACGGCUCACCAAGGCGACGAUCCCUAGCUGGUCUGAGAGGAUGACCAGCCACACUGGGACUGAGACACGGUCCAGACUCCUACGGGAGGCAGCAGUGGGGAAUAUUGCACAAUGGGCGCAAGCCUGAUGCAGCCAUGCCGCGUGUAUGAAGAAGGCCUUCGGGUUGUAAAGUACUUUCAGCGGGGAGGAAGGUGUUGUGGUUAAUAACCGCAGCAAUUGACGUUACCCGCAGAAGAAGCACCGGCUAACUCCGUGCCAGCCGCAGC